This 547-nucleotide long non-coding RNA is filed under the name Ananas comosus (pineapple). RNAcentral describes it as "long non-coding RNA (ACOM_LNC001503)". The record is from RNAcentral. Lineage: Eukaryota; Viridiplantae; Streptophyta; Magnoliopsida; Poales; Bromeliaceae.
GUGUAUAACUAUUGAAUAUAAAUAUUAAAAAUAUUAUUCUCUGAUAAUUUAAUUUUUUGAAGAAUAAUAAUUAUUUUAUAUAAUUUAAUAUGAUAAUAAAACAUGAAGCCUUGAGUUUGAGUCCCUCUGGACCCCUAGUCUCAUUUAAUAUUCUCGCAGGGAUAAAUCAAAAUAUCUGAACCCAGACGUGAAUAAAAAUGGUAAAUAUAAGUAUUAAAAAAUUCUUAAACUAUUGAAAAGAAUUAGUUGUUUUAUAUUCUUUAAUAUAGUAUGAAAGGUAGUAUGCUAGCUAUUUCGUUUAUUUCUUUUAAAAAUAAACUUUAGCUGAAAAUGUAAAGUAAUUAGGCUUCGAACUUGAGGCCUUGGAUACCAACUACCAAAAUUUUUGUCACUUGCGCUAAAGAUAGUCAAUAACAUAUGUUUUAUUAUAGCAAUUAACAUUGUUCAUCGUAUUUUGACCCAUCAAAUAUACCAUCCAGUCUUACGAAUUUGUCUUCUUAGCGUGUCGAGACUGAUUUAAGAUGAGUUGAUUUUUUAUAUAUAUAUU